GCUAAGAGUGCAAAUGUUGGCGGCUUAGUGGCGGACGGGUGAGUAACGCGUGGGUAACCUGCCAUAUACAGGGGGAUAACACUUAGAAAUAGGUGCUAAUACCGCAUAAGCGCACGGAGCUGCAUGGCUCAGUGUGAAAAACUCCGGUGGUAUAUGAUGGACCCGCGUCUGAUUAGCUUGUUGGCGGGGUAACGGCCCACCAAGGCGACGAUCAGUAGCCGGCCUGAGAGGGUGGACGGCCACAUUGGGACUGAGACACGGCCCAAACUCCUACGGGAGGCAGCAGUGGGGAAUAUUGGACAAUGGGGGGAACCCUGAUCCAGCGACGCCGCGUGAGUGAAGAAGUAUCUCGGUAUGUAAAGCUCUAUCAGCAGGGAAGAAAGAAAUGACGGUACCUGACCAAGAAGCCCCGGCUAACUACGUGCCAGCAGCCGCGGUAAUACGUAGGGGGCAAGCGUUAUCCGGAUUUACUGGGUGUAAAGGGAGCGUAGACGGUAAUGCAAGUCUGGAGUGAAAUGCAGGGGCUCAACCCCUGAACUGCUUUGGAAACUGUAUGACUGGAGUGCAGGAGAGGUAAGUGGAAUUCCUAGUGUAGCGGUGAAAUGCGUAGAUAUUGGGAAGAACACCAGUGGCGAAGGCGGCUUACUGGACUGUAACUGACGUUGAAGCUCGAAAGCGUG
RNAcentral lists this ribosomal RNA (680 nucleotides) under uncultured bacterium. Its description in RNAcentral is "bacterial SSU rRNA". It matches the Rfam family "Bacterial small subunit ribosomal RNA", at positions 66 to 763 of the family's 1533-position model. The record is from RNAcentral.